This 425-nucleotide ribosomal RNA is filed under the name uncultured bacterium. Its description in RNAcentral is "partial 16S ribosomal RNA". It matches the Rfam family "Bacterial small subunit ribosomal RNA", at positions 354 to 796 of the family's 1533-position model. The record is from RNAcentral.
GUUAGGAAUAUUGGACAAUGGGCGCAAGCCUGAUCCAGCCAUUCCGCGUGAGUGAUGAAGGCCUUCGGGUUGUAAAGCUCUUUAGUCCACGAAUAUAAUGACUGUAGUGGAAGAAUAAGCCCCGGCUAACUUCGUGCCAGCAGCCGCGGUAAUACGAAGGGGGCGAGCGUUAUUCGGAAUCACUGGGCGUAAAGCGUGCGUAGGCUGUUUUGUAAGUCAGAAGUGAAAGCCCAGGGCUUAACCCUGGAAUUGCUUUGGAAACUACAAGACUCGAAUUCGGGAGAGGAUAGCGGAAUUGUCAGUGUAGCAGUGAAAUGCGUAGAUAUUGACAGGAACACCAGUGGCGCAAGCGGCUAUCUGGACCGAUAUUGACGCUGAGGCACGAAAGCGUGGGGAGCAAACAGGAUUAGAUACCCCUGUAGUCC